UGGAAGUGUCUGUACUAACAGGAACGUUGAGUAUGUGAAAAAGCUAUAUGUUUGUAAGAAGGGAAAGACUAUUGAGGAGGGACAUAGGCGUAUUCAGUCUCAUAAGAUGGUCCCUGCAAGAUAAUUUGUUCUUUUGUCAGGAGGAAACAUAGGAUGCUUCUCAGCAGGAUUCGGAUCAAUAUUAUCUAUACCUACACGAUUUAAGUGGAUUUGACUUUUAUGAAAAGCCUAAUGACUUUAUUGUGUCUAGAAUUUAUAGAACAUGGCGCGAUUGCAUUUCACCCACCAAAUUGCAAGUGUUUUUCUCAUGUCACGGCUGAAUGGACUCUCAUUGGCAGACUUUUGCACCUGACCCAAACCCAAUAGUCAAAUCUCUUUCAUCUGGUGAUCUCUGAUUGGCG
This 401-nucleotide long non-coding RNA is filed under the name Musa acuminata (dwarf banana). RNAcentral's name for it is "long non-coding RNA (MACU_LNC000816)". Lineage: Eukaryota; Viridiplantae; Streptophyta; Magnoliopsida; Zingiberales; Musaceae. The record is from RNAcentral.